RNAcentral lists this ribosomal RNA (422 nucleotides) under uncultured bacterium. Its description in RNAcentral is "bacterial SSU rRNA". It matches the Rfam family "Bacterial small subunit ribosomal RNA", at positions 29 to 438 of the family's 1533-position model. The record is from RNAcentral.
AACGAACGCUGGCGGCGUGCCUAACACAUGCAAGUCGAGCGCGAAAAGGGCAACCUGAGUAGAGCGGCGCACGGGUGCGUAACACGUGGGUAAUCUGCCUCAAAGUUUGGGAUAACCUUCCGAAAGGUUGGCUAAUACCGGAUAAGCUCACGAGGUCUUCGGACUUUGUGGGAAAAGGUGGCCUCUGUUUACAAGCCAUCACUUUGAGAUGAGCCCGCGGCCCAUCAGCUAGUUGGCGGGGUAACGGCCCACCAAGGCUACGACGGGUAGCUGGUCUGAGAGGACGAUCAGCCACACUGGAACUGAGACACGGUCCAGACUCCUACGGGAGGCAGCAGUGGGGAAUUUUGCACAAUGGGCGAAAGCCUGAUGCAGCAACGCCGCGUGUGUGAUGAAGGUCUUCGGAUCGUAAAGCACUUUCG